RNAcentral lists this microRNA (21 nucleotides) under Hydra vulgaris (swiftwater hydra). RNAcentral describes it as "hma-miR-3007-5p". The record is from miRBase by way of RNAcentral. Lineage: Eukaryota; Metazoa; Cnidaria; Hydrozoa; Anthoathecata; Hydridae.
UGUUCGGCGUUUUUACCUGCA